CCUACGGGGGGCAGCAGUGAGGAAUAUUGGUCAAUGGGCGCAAGCCUGAACCAGCCAAGUCGCGUGAGGGAUGACGGACCUACGGAUUGUAAACUUCUUUUGUAAGGGAGUAAAGGGCGGCACGUGUGCCGUUUUGCGUGUACUUUAUGAAAAAGGAUCGGCUAACUCCGUGCCAGCAGCCGCGGUAAUACGGAGGAUGCGAGCGUUAUCCGGAUUUAUUGGGUUUAAAGGGUGCGUAGAUGGGUUGUUAAGUCAGGUGUGAAAGUUUGGGGCUUAACCGUGGAACUGCCGUUGAUACUGGUCGUCUUGAGUGAAGGAGAGGUAUGCGGAAUGCGUGGUGUAGCGGUGAAAUGCUUAGAUAUCACGAAGAACUCCGAUUGCGAAGGCAGCUUACUAGACUGCAACUGACAUUGAGGCUCGAAAGCGUGGGUAUCAAACAGGAUUAGAUACCCCAGUAGUC
Molecule: ribosomal RNA, 460 nt
Filed under: uncultured bacterium
Lineage: Bacteria
Description: partial 16S ribosomal RNA
Rfam family: Bacterial small subunit ribosomal RNA
Source: RNAcentral